Molecule: RNA transcript, 1472 nt
Organism: Peromyscus leucopus (white-footed mouse)
Lineage: Eukaryota; Metazoa; Chordata; Mammalia; Rodentia; Cricetidae
Gene name: aldo-keto reductase family 1 member C2-like
Exons: 11
Source: RefSeq, a predicted model, not a curated record
AAUUUUGUAAUUAUUACCCAAGAUGUUAGAGAUGCCAGAGUCACGGGAUACCGCCAAGGAGAACUACUAACAGGGAGUGGAACCAGUCCAAGAGAAAGAAGUGUGUUGCAGUCAACAAAGCUCAACAGAAUUGAAGGUGUGGAGAGCAUUUUGACAUCAGAUGUGGAGAUGCAGAGUUUGGAGUUUGACCAGCUGGUUUUCUGUCUUGCUUUGGUCCAGUAUUUCUUCGUUAUGUUCCAUUCCCUGUGUUUUCAAAUGGUUCCUAAGAGUAAGAUUUUGGAGUCUACUAAAAUAGCAAUAGAUAUUGGGUUCCGCCAUAUUGAUUCUGCUUAUGUGUACCAAAAUGAAAAGGAGACAGGACAGGCUAUUCGAAGAAAGAUUGCAGAUGGUGUUGUGAAGAGAGAAGACAUAUUCCUCACUACAAAGCUUUGGUCUACAUUCCAUCGACCAGAACUGGUCAAAGUUGGCUUAGAAAGAUCACUGAAAAACUUCCAACUAGAUUAUGUUGACCUCUAUCUUAUUCAUUACCCAAUGUCAAUUAAGCCAUCAGAGGAGAUAUAUACAAUAAAUGAAAAUGGAAAAAUAUUAUUUGAGACAGUAGAUCUCUGUGCUACCUGGGAGGCCAUGGAGAAGUGUAAGGAUGCAGGACUUGUCAAGUCCAUCGGGGUGUCCAACUUUAACCGCAGGCUGUUAGAGAUGAUCCUGAACAAGCCAGGGCUCAAGUACAAGCCUGUGUGCAACCAGGUAGAAUGUCAUCCUUAUCUGAACCAGAGCAAGCUAUUGGAUUUCUGCAAGUCAAAAGAUAUUGUUCUGGUUGCCUAUGGAGCCCUGGGAUCUCAGCGUCCUGAAACCUGGGUAGACCAGAAUGCCCCAUUUCUUUUGAAUGAUCCAGUUCUUUGUGCCAUGGCCAAAAAGCACAAUCGAAGUCCAGCACAGAUUGCCCUUUGCUACCAGGUGCAGCGUGGGGUCAUUGCCUUGGCUCAUAGUUAUGAAGAGAAUGAGAUGAAAGAGAACAUUCAGGUACUUGAAUUCCACUUGCCUCCAGAGGAUAUGGAAGUCUUAGAUGGCCUGAACAGAAAUUUCAGAUAUUUUCCGGUGAAUUUAGACCCACAAUGGAUCUUUUGGUGAGUUUCAGAGACAAAAAGGUUUCCAUGAAGAGGCUAAAAGUUUUGAACACGAUCCUAACUGUAUGUUACAAACAGGAGCAAUGCUGUUGGACACCCCAAUUUUCCAUUUUCUGAUGAAUAUUAACAUGAUACCCUUUAUCAUGGCUUCUACCUGAAGCUCCUAAAUGUGGAUAAUGAUGCUGCUGCUCAUGAUUGAGGUGAUGCUAAUGAGACCCACCACUUCUGGUUGAUCCAUACUACUUAGCAACUCACAGGCAACUGGAACCACAUUCAACAUCCUGGAAGAAAGACACUAAAGUUUUAAUCACUUAUUGAAAUAAAUAUGAUGUUCUUUUCCCUGAAGAA